AGUGAACGCUGGCGGUAGGCCUAACACAUGCAAGUCGAACGGCAGCACAGUAAGAGCUUGCUCUUACGGGUGGCGAGUGGCGGACGGGUGAGGAAUACAUCGGAAUCUACUUUUUCGUGGGGGAUAACGUAGGGAAACUUACGCUAAUACCGCAUACGACCUACGGGUGAAAGCAGGGGAUCUUCGGACCUUGCGCGAUUGAAUGAGCCGAUGUCGGAUUAGCUAGUUGGCGGGGUAAAGGCCCACCAAGGCGACGAUCCGUAGCUGGUCUGAGAGGAUAAUCAGCCACACUGGAACUGAGACACGGUCCAGGCUCCUACGGGAGGCAGCAGUGGGGAAUAUUGGACAAUGGGCGCAAGCCUGAUCCAGCCAUACCGCGUGGGUGAAGAAGGCCUUCGGGUUGUAAAGACCUUUUGUUGGGAAAGAAAAGCAGCAGGUUAAUACCCCGCUGUUCUGACGGUACCCAAAGAAUAAGCACCGGCUAACUUCGUG
This 492-nucleotide ribosomal RNA is filed under the name uncultured bacterium. Its description in RNAcentral is "partial 16S ribosomal RNA". It matches the Rfam family "Bacterial small subunit ribosomal RNA", at positions 29 to 507 of the family's 1533-position model. The record is from RNAcentral.